This 956-nucleotide ribosomal RNA is filed under the name Lodderomyces parapsilosis. Its description in RNAcentral is "LSU rRNA". The stretch from base 158 to 956 matches the Rfam family "Eukaryotic large subunit ribosomal RNA", at positions 1 to 818 of the family's 3401-position model. The record is from RNAcentral. Lineage: Eukaryota; Fungi; Ascomycota; Pichiomycetes; Serinales; Debaryomycetaceae.
UCCAAAGGGCAUGCCUGUUUGAGCGUCAUUUCUCCCUCAAACCCUCGGGUUUGGUGUUGAGCGAUACGCUGGGUUUGCUUGAAAGAAAGGCGGAGUAUAAACUAAUGGAUAGGUUUUUUCCACUCAUUGGUACAAACUCCAAAACUUCUUCCAAAUUCGACCUCAAAUCAGGUAGGACUACCCGCUGAACUUAAGCAUAUCAAUAAGCGGAGGAAAAGAAACCAACAGGGAUUGCCUUAGUAGCGGCGAGUGAAGCGGCAAAAGCUCAAAUUUGAAAUCUGGCACUUUCAGUGUCCGAGUUGUAAUUUGAAGAAGGUAUCUUUGGGUCUGGCUCUUGUCUAUGUUUCUUGGAACAGAACGUCACAGAGGGUGAGAAUCCCGUGCGAUGAGAUGUCCCAGACCUAUGUAAAGUUCCUUCGAAGAGUCGAGUUGUUUGGGAAUGCAGCUCUAAGUGGGUGGUAAAUUCCAUCUAAAGCUAAAUAUUGGCGAGAGACCGAUAGCGAACAAGUACAGUGAUGGAAAGAUGAAAAGAACUUUGAAAAGAGAGUGAAAAAGUACGUGAAAUUGUUGAAAGGGAAGGGCUUGAGAUCAGACUUGGUAUUUUGUAUGUUACUCUCUCGGGGGUGGCCUCUACAGUUUACCGGGCCAGCAUCAGUUUGAGCGGUAGGAUAAGUGCAAAGAAAUGUGGCACUGCUUCGGUAGUGUGUUAUAGUCUUUGUCGAUACUGCCAGCUUAGACUGAGGACUGCGGCUUCGGCCUAGGAUGUUGGCAUAAUGAUCUUAAGUCGCCCGUCUUGAAACACGGACCAAGGAGUCUAACGUCUAUGCGAGUGUUUGGGUGUAAAACCCGUACGCGUAAUGAAAGUGAACGUAGGUAGGACCUCCUUUAGGAGUGCACUAUCGACCGAUCCUGAUGUCUUCGGAUGGAUUGAGUAAGAGCAUAGCUGUUGGGACCCG